This 839-nucleotide ribosomal RNA is filed under the name Canalisporium sp. JY-2023b. RNAcentral describes it as "partial large subunit ribosomal RNA". It matches the Rfam family "Eukaryotic large subunit ribosomal RNA", at positions 77 to 933 of the family's 3401-position model. Lineage: Eukaryota; Fungi; Ascomycota; Sordariomycetes. The record is from RNAcentral.
GCCCCAGUAGCGGCGAGCGAAGCGGCAACAGCCCAGAUUUGAAAUCCGGCGUUCUUUGGGCGCCCGAGUUGUAAUCUGCAGAUGGGUUUUCCGGUGAGGCACACGUCCAAGUUCCCUGGAAUGGGACGCCGCAGAGGGUGAGAGCCCCGUACUGGCGCCGUGCCGAGCCUCUGUGAGGCCCAUUCGACGAGUCGAGUAGUUUGGGAAUGCUGCUCUAAUUGCGAGGUAAAUCUCUCGUAAGGCUAAAUACCGGCCAGAGACCGAUAGCGCACAAGUAGCGUGAGCGAAAGAUGAAAAGAGCCUUGGAUAAGGGCGUCAAAAAGCAUGUGAAAUCGUUAUGGGGGAAGCGCUCGUCGCCAGACGUGGCGGCGGCUGGUUAGCCGGCGUUCUCGCCGGCGCACUCGGACCGCCGCCAGGCCAGCAACAGCUCGGACCGGGGCCCACUGCCGGAGGGAACGUGGCUCCUUUCGGGGAGUGUUAUAGCCCUUCGGCGACGCCCUGGACCGGGCUGAGGACCGCGCCUCGCGCACGGAUGCUGGCGUAAUGGCGCCUAGCGACCCGUCUUGAAACACGGACCAAGGAGUUGACCUAGCGCGCGAGUGUACGGGUGUCAAGCCCCUGCGCGCAGUGAAAGCAAACGCUGGUGGGAGCCUUCGGGCGCACCAUCGACCGAUCCUGAUGCUCCGCGGAUGGAUUUGAGUAGGAGCGUGCUGGGUCUGACCCGAAAGAAGGUGAACUAUGCAUGGGUAGGGUGAAGCCAGAGGAAACUCUGGUGGAGGCUCGCAGCGGUUCUGACGUGCAAAUCGAUCGUCAAACCUGUGCAUGGGGGCGAAAGACCA